GACGAACGCUGGCGGCGUGCUUAACACAUGCAAGUCGAACGGAAAGGCCCUGCUUUUGUGGGGUGCUCGAGUGGCGAACGGGUGAGUAACACGUGAGUAACCUGCCCUUGACUUUGGGAUAACUUCAGGAAACUGGGGCUAAUACCGGAUAGGAGCUCCUGCUGCAUUGUGGGGGUUGGAAAGUUUCGGCGGUUGGGGAUGGACUCGCGGCUUAUCAGCUUGUUGGUGGGGUAGUGGCUUACCAAGGCUUUGACGGGUAGCCGGCCUGAGAGGGUGACCGGCCACAUUGGGACUGAGAUACGGCCCAGACUGCUACGGGAGGCAGCAGUGGGGAAUAUUGCACAAUGGGCGGAAGCCUGAUGCAGCAACGCCGCGUGCGGGAUGACGGCCUUCGGGUUGUAAACCGCUUUAGCCUGUGACGAAGCGUGAGUGACGGUAAUGGGUAAAGAAGCACCGGCUAACUACGUG
This 468-nucleotide ribosomal RNA is filed under the name uncultured bacterium. Its description in RNAcentral is "partial 16S ribosomal RNA". It matches the Rfam family "Bacterial small subunit ribosomal RNA", at positions 28 to 507 of the family's 1533-position model. The record is from RNAcentral.